AUCCUAUUCAACUAGUAUCAUCCUUGAAAGAAAAUAAAAUGGCUAAGAAAACAUCUGGAUGCUAUAUUGAUAUGAAAUUGAAAGAGACACAGCCUACAUCAAGAGACUACUUAAACAAGUCAAAAUUCCAUGUAAUUUGUCUUCCUGCGAUGCAGUUGCUCUGCAGAUGCAGAAACAAGAGUUCUGUAACUUAAAAGAUGUGGAUAGACACAAGAAGCGCUUGCGGCC
RNAcentral lists this long non-coding RNA (228 nucleotides) under Musa acuminata (dwarf banana). Its description in RNAcentral is "long non-coding RNA (MACU_LNC006036)". The record is from RNAcentral. Lineage: Eukaryota; Viridiplantae; Streptophyta; Magnoliopsida; Zingiberales; Musaceae.